RNAcentral lists this ribosomal RNA (376 nucleotides) under Salmonella enterica. RNAcentral's name for it is "bacterial SSU rRNA". It matches the Rfam family "Bacterial small subunit ribosomal RNA", at positions 185 to 575 of the family's 1533-position model. Lineage: Bacteria; Pseudomonadati; Pseudomonadota; Gammaproteobacteria; Enterobacterales; Enterobacteriaceae. The record is from RNAcentral.
CCUGCAUGGGUAUGGUGUGGAAAGUUUUUCGGUCUGGGAUGGACUCGCGGCCUAUCAGCUUGUUGGUGAGGUAAUGGCUCACCAAGGCGACGACGGGUAGCCGGCCUGAGAGGGCGACCGGCCACACUGGGACUGAGACACGGCCCAGACUCCUACGGGAGGCAGCAGUGGGGAAUAUUGCACAAUGGGCGAAAGCCUGAUGCAGCGACGCCGCGUGAGGGAUGACGGCCUUCGGGUUGUAAACCUCUUUCAGCAGGGAAGAAGCGCAAGUGACGGUACCUGCAGAAGAAGCACCGGCUAACUACGUGCCAGCAGCCGCGGUAAUACGUAGGGUGCGAGCGUUGUCCGGAAUUAUUGGGCGUAAAGAGCUUGUAGG